UACGGGGGGGGCAAGCGUUGUUCGGAAUUACUGGGCGUAAAGGGCUCGUAGGCGGCCAACUAAGUCAGACGUGAAAUCCCUCGGCUUAACCGGGGAACUGCGUCUGAUACUGGAUGGCUUGAGUUUGGGAGAGGGAUGCGGAAUUCCAGGUGUAGCGGUGAAAUGCGUAGAUAUCUGGAGGAACACCGGUGGCGAAGGCGGCGACCUGGUCCAUUACUGACGCUGAGGCGCGACAGCGUGGGGAGCAAACAGG
This 253-nucleotide ribosomal RNA is filed under the name uncultured bacterium. RNAcentral's name for it is "partial 16S ribosomal RNA". It matches the Rfam family "Bacterial small subunit ribosomal RNA", at positions 524 to 776 of the family's 1533-position model. The record is from RNAcentral.